AUAUUCACUCCUGUAAAUGGGAGGAAUCAGGUCGCUCGCUUUGCAUGCAGAUGCGCACACGCGCGCCACAUCUGCAUGUCGUUGAGUUUCACUUAAACAUGCCUCGGCUGCUUUGUCUUGGGGGCUCGUGCGUGCGCUGCCGGCGCGUCGCGCACGUGGAGAGGCUCCCGUGAGAGCGCACACCUGUCUGCAACCUCAGUCCAGGAUGUGACUUAUGCUCCAACAUAGACUGCUCAACCAUGCCUUUUACGAGGCUGCCAGUAUUGACAGCACAUUAUUAAUACACUUCAGAGGGGGUCUGUAUCUUUGUUUAUCCAUUUCUCCACUCCCACAUACUAGUCAGCAGAAUAAUAAGUGGAAGCACAGAACCGGACCACUGUCUUACCAGCUAAUUACGGGGCUCAUGUAGAUGGAUGAUUCUUCAGAUAGAGUCCAGCUAUUAUACAAACUCAUUAAGCUUUCUCUCCAUCCAGCAUCCCUCGCUAAAGGUCAAAGUCACAGUCAGGAUGACGGCGCGGACGCGUGCGCACGCACGCAGGAGCCUCACAGAUCCUGCAGCAACGCGCCCCGCAGUCGAAUCCUCCUGACGGGGCUCCGACAACGCGAAGAAGAGGGCAGUGCAAGAUGGAGAGCGUCUCUUCUAGUCACAAGCUGCUCCGAGGCUCCGAUGGGAGGACCUGGUCCACAGCUGCCGGACGAACACGCUACGCCUCCAAAGGCCACACAUCAGCCCACACAAAACGCUAAGUGCCACCAGACUUUUCCUUUAAGAUGCUGCAAGUUGACUCAUGAAAUAAUAUUACUGUGUUUAUUACAGAGGCUUUUCAAUCAGUACAGUAGUAAUGCCUUUUAACAAAAGGCAUUUUCCGACUCCAAGUUAUUUGUCUUUUUAUUCUCCACCCUUAUCUGGUCUCUGAGAGCUGUUUGCUUGUUGUUGGACAGGACAAAAGCAACUAAUUCUUUUAAUUAUCACUUCACCUGGCAAUCAUGUUAUAAAAGCUUAUUUUAUGAAAUGCCCAUGAGUAAUUAACUAACACAAUACUCCAAUCUACUCUAUCAAAUAUGACGUCUGCAGUUGUCUCACAGUUGUGCAAAGAAUAUUCUUCAUACUUUGGUUCGUAAUGUGAAACAGUUUUUACCGAUGUUUUCACUUUGUUUUAUUGAUAGUUUUAGUUUGAGAUGAAUUCUGAAUCCACCCACUGAUUGUAAAGACGCUUCUGUGUAAUUAUACACAUCAUGGUGACAUCUACAGUAUGAGCCCGUUCUAUACUGUACCACUGUAUGUGCUGUGGUUAUAUUGGUAUCACAGAGACGUCUCAAGAUUUCUAUUAACCUAAUACCUUGUAAUGUGCUCUUCUUUCACACCAGUAAUUAUGUUGCACCAUUUUACACAUUCUUAAAGAAUCCAGUCACUUCUGAAAUUCAUUUUCAAAUCCAGUGAACCAUUUAAUUAACACCAGGAAAUGUUCCAACACACCUGCUUUCACUAGCACAUGUUCAUCUCUAAAAAAAACACAUGAUUUGUACAGGAUGUGAUGGAUGAGUGUUCAUUUCAAAACUGCUCCAACACUGGAGAACAUAUGUACCAAAAAUACCCCUUGAUAAUUUGCUUGUAGUGACCUUCGGCGACUCGAACUGUCCAUUUCACCCCCGUAAAGGCGUCGAGUAACGAUGAAGCGAGACGUGAGUUUGUGAAAUCGCUACUCAAUUCUCUGGUUGACAUUUGACAUGCAAAUAGAUUUGGUUUCCAUGUUAAUGGAAUGAAUGGAUUUUUGUGUCACACAACAGACCCGGUUCAGUGACAGUUUAAUUACCUGAUAUUUUCCAAACAUAUUGAUAUGAGCGAGCUCUUAGCUCACGAUUAUAACAUGCUGCAGCCGUAAUGUGUUUCAUGGAAAACCUCCUCAACAGAUUUUGACAUCGCUUCGCUGUGAUGCCGUUUCGCCCGCUCCCAACGUAAACAGCGGCCGGCGCAUGUACACUACGUGUUAAAAUCUUUAUUUGCCUCCGUGCGUCUCUUUGUGCCGCGUCCAAUCUAUUUGUCUGAACACAUUCUUGGGAAGAUGUCAGAGCGGUAUUGAUAGAGCGCAAUCGGGAGGCGAGUGCACAUAUUGUUCACUCUGUACACAUCCUGCUCAUUCAAUUCUGGGAAAUUGCUCUGCCUCAAAAAAGGUUGUCAUUAUUUUGUCACUCAGCGUCCCAGGUGACAUUUACAGCAAAUAACCUCACAGGCUAAAAGAAACACCACAGAGAAAAUAUGAAGUAAUGUGUUUGACUUGAAGGAAGGACAGGGGAAGUGGAGCUUUGUCUCAAUGAUACAUGUGGAAACACUGAAAGAGUUAAAUGAGUCUAGAAAGGAGACUAAGAAGUAUGAAAGACUUCACUUUGACCAAAGUCUCCACUUGUACUUAUGAAUUAACAAUAAAUAAUAAAUAAGCAAUAUCAAUAAACAAUACAUUUGUGUCAGUGGAAAACUGAAUACUCUGUCUUUUAUUUAGCUUAGUUCUCUGUAGGAUGCAGAUUAAAGUAAUUUGAUCCCCUCAAUAAAAUCUCCUCCACCUUUUUCUGUUCAUGUUGUUUUAUGGCUUCGCUGUUGUGUUUAAACAAAGGCCAGACCGCGGGCCGCUCUAAAGGCCAUGCAAUUAUCCUUACCCAUUGCGGCGAGUUGUAUGGGCGCUAUUAACUCUGUAUGGGUGAUGUUUUUCAUGGAGCAACCGGAUUUUCUUCUGAGUGCUGCACUCACGAGUCCUGCACUGUACCUGCCACAAUGACAGAUGGCUGCAUUAGUAAUCAAGCCAAUUCAAAAAAAAAAAAAAAAAAAACGCAGCCUUGAAUUUGAUGCAGGAUAGCGGCUGGAGGUUGCUUACCUGCUUACCGUCUCCUCUUAUCUCCACACACAGAACUCCAGCCGCUAUCUUUUAAGGUUAUAUUUUAAAGAAGCUAUUUAUAUUUAUAUCCUCAGCUCCCAGAUGUGUAUAUAUACAUGAAUUAGAUUCCUCUGAAUAUUAUCACAGAAGGUGAACUUGCACAGAUCACAUAAAUGUUACAGAAGAAGAAGUGCCUCGCGCACGCAUGGGCUUGGCCUCAGCGCUGGAGGAUUUCGAGCUGAGACAAUAAUUUUCUCUGAGCUAUUACCAACCGAGUGCAGUGCUCACAACUCCUAAACUUAAUAUGUCAUAUUAGAAUAUUAAUGGAAAUUGGAAACGCUGACCCCGGCUGAACAGC
Molecule: long non-coding RNA, 3225 nt
Organism: Betta splendens (Siamese fighting fish)
Lineage: Eukaryota; Metazoa; Chordata; Actinopteri; Anabantiformes; Osphronemidae
Exons: 3
Source: RefSeq, a predicted model, not a curated record